Engraulis encrasicolus (European anchovy) is the source of this 680-nucleotide long non-coding RNA. RefSeq lists it as uncharacterized. The transcript is spliced from 3 exons. NCBI's taxonomy places the organism in Eukaryota, Metazoa, Chordata, Actinopteri, Clupeiformes, Engraulidae. The record is from RefSeq and is a predicted model, not a curated record.
UAGGGCCUAUGUGUUGUAGUUGUCAGUACUACAUUCAUUUACCCACUACCCUCUUAUAACGUGUGAAAUAACCUAAUAGUUAUCAUAAUGUUAUACCAUGGAUUCCUCCUAUUUCCUUUGUGUGUCCACUUGAAAUUGUGAACAAAGCUGGUUACUGGGGCAGUAAUGCAAACAUGUGUGCUUUCGUUUAGAAGACUCACUCUUUUGUCCCUCACAAUGUCUUCUAACUAUGCAGAACAUGAUGUGGCAUAAUGGGUGGGUGGGUGCAUAUUAGUGCAUUGGGUAUUUCUGAAUCUCAUUGAGUGUUGUUGUCUUCACAGGCCACCACAAUAAGUGUACACGUUCAGACAUAUGGUUCAUGGAUGCUGCCUGCCAGACAGACUGCAUUGCCACCUGGACUACAGCCACAUCACUUAUCCUUGAAGACAUUGCUGCCCCAGCCAUGGAGUAAAUAUGGCUCUCCUCUACAAUGAAAAUUCAAACGAACAACCGGCCCUAUGACUACCUGCAGGAGGUGUACCUUUCUUCAAAAUUGCCAAGACCAAGAAGGGAUAGUGCAUCAACCAUCAAAAGAUUAAGCCAACCUUUUGGUUAUGUUCAUGUUCGUGGAACUCAUUCUGGACAAGGUCUUUGGGAACCCUGCAAAGCAGACUGAGGCAAUGUUGGCGUUGGUGCAGUUC